UGAAUUCUCAAAGUAUAAUCUGCCACUGGCUUCAUAGCAUUUGGAGUUUAGCUCAUAGAGCCCUGUUUUCUCUCCUACUCAAAUUAUACAAGCAGAGCCAAAAGCUUUCAAGACUCUUGCCAGACAUCUCUCCCAAAAACUGAUGUUCAGUCACAAGGCUUAUUAGAGACAUAUUUUACAUGCUCUUAUAAUUUUCAGAACCUGUUACAACCUCCCUCUUUUAAGAGAAGAUGAGGAUGAGGACGAAGAAAACACAGAGUGCUCGGCCUUGUCCUUGUUAAAAGCCCUAUGAACAUCCUCUUUGAGCUCCAUGAAGCG
Molecule: unclassified non-coding RNA, 318 nt
Filed under: Hevea brasiliensis (rubber tree)
Lineage: Eukaryota; Viridiplantae; Streptophyta; Magnoliopsida; Malpighiales; Euphorbiaceae
Source: RNAcentral